Molecule: long non-coding RNA, 708 nt
Filed under: Gossypium barbadense (sea-island cotton)
Lineage: Eukaryota; Viridiplantae; Streptophyta; Magnoliopsida; Malvales; Malvaceae
Description: long non-coding RNA (GBAR_LNC007613)
Source: RNAcentral
CUUUUUUAAGAAAACAGAAAGCUUUUUGUUUUCUCUCCUUCCCCUUUUCUCCCCCAUUUCUCUCUUUUUGGCUAGGGCUUCAUACCCAUCAUCGCCGCCGCCAUUAAGGCCACCAUGGACGGUGGUUGAAGGCAUGUGAAAAGGAGGGUUUUUCACCUCCGUUUAAAGAGUUUGAAAACCGAGCCUCCUCAAAACCCCCUCAAAAAAACGAUAUAUGAAAGAAAGGCCCCUUUUUCUCUCUUGAAAUCGACUUCAGCGACGGAGAGGAGAACUCCGAUGGCCGACCACGGGGCGUUCGGAUAAGGUUCUCCUCUUUUUGUUUUCUUUUUAUUGAUUUUUCUAUUUAAAAUAGAUUUGUAAUGAAAAUAAAAAGAUAAAAAAAUAUAAAUUGAACAAAAAGAAACCGAACAAGUAGAGACUAAAAUCAACCUUUCUUGAUUUUGUUUUCUUGAUUUUUUACUGAUGUGUGUGUAAAAAGCUUUUGUAAAAAAAGAAGAAGAAAUUUCAAUGACCAAGUUCUGGCUUUUAAAGCCAAGUUACAAGACUUUUAUUUUCUAUUUUUUGUCUUUUUGCUCUUGUUUCUUCUGCUACUUGGCCUCUGUUGUUGCUGUUGUUUCUUGUUGUUUGUGUUUGCAAGGUAUAGGAGUGUCAGACGCGUGGAGCGUGGUGACCAAGGCUGAGGGGCAUGCGUGGGGCGUGGUGGCCAAG